This 808-nucleotide long non-coding RNA is filed under the name Homo sapiens (human). RNAcentral describes it as "novel transcript". The record is from RNAcentral. Lineage: Eukaryota; Metazoa; Chordata; Mammalia; Primates; Hominidae.
AACACCGGGGCCCAACGGCAGGGGCUUGGGCAGGAGCAAGGUCCGAGGGCUGCCAGGUCCACGCUGCUUUUAUGAGCUGUAACACUCACCGCGAAGAUCUGCAGCUUCACUCCUGAGCCCAGCGAGACCACGAGCCCACCGGGAGGAACAAACAACUCCAGACGCGCUGCCUUAAGAGCUGUAACACUUGCCGUGAAGGUCUGCAGCUUCACUCCUGAGCCAGCGAGACCACGAACCCACCAGAAGGAAGAAACUCCGAACACAUCUCAACAUCAGAACGGACAGACUCCAGACGCACCACCUUAAGAGCUGUAACACUCACCGCGAGGUUCCGCGGCUUCAUUCUUGAACAAUGAAUCCUCCAAUGUACCUGACUCUCCCUUUGCGAAGAGCAUCUCCGUGGCAGAAAUCUGAAAAUGCCCCUGGGGAGACACAUGCACAAGACAGUUCGUGAGCCACACAUCUCCCCACACCAAGCUCCUCCAUACAAGACCUCGGACUGCAUCACGUAAAUGCUUUUUCAGGGGCAAAAUCUAGAGAAUCUGAAACGAGCUAUCAGCUUCCCAGUUUGCACAAUUCAUCAAGAAAUUAUGCGGGGUCACUGGCACAAAUGAUGAGGCAUCUCCUGGAAGCUUAACUUCUUAUCCAUCCCAUCUCUUGGACAGAUGAUGCCAGUUAAUUACUUUGAAUGGGUCUGUCACACGCAGCCCAACUCAACUGGAGUCCUGAGAAGGUGAACAGACCAGGAUGGAUGGCCAGGGAACUCACCAGAAGUCCCCAGGCAUCAGAACAAGGUCGAAGCAUCCUG